UACGUAGGAUGCGAGCGUUAUCCGGAUUUAUUGGGUUUAAAGGGUGCGUAGGCGGACGCUUAAGUCAGCGGUAAAAUGUCCGGGCUCAACCCGGGCCGGCCGUUGAAACUGGGGAUCUUGAGUGGGCGAGAAGUAUGCGGAAUGCGUGGUGUAGCGGUGAAAUGCAUAGAUGUCACGCAGAACUCCGAUUGCGAAGGCAGCAUACCGGCGCCCGACUGACGCUGAGGCACGAAAGCGUGGGGAUCGAACAGG
RNAcentral lists this ribosomal RNA (252 nucleotides) under uncultured bacterium. RNAcentral's name for it is "partial 16S ribosomal RNA". It matches the Rfam family "Bacterial small subunit ribosomal RNA", at positions 524 to 776 of the family's 1533-position model. The record is from RNAcentral.